RNAcentral lists this unclassified non-coding RNA (285 nucleotides) under Hevea brasiliensis (rubber tree). Lineage: Eukaryota; Viridiplantae; Streptophyta; Magnoliopsida; Malpighiales; Euphorbiaceae. The record is from RNAcentral.
GAAGUCGCUGCACUCAAAGAGGGUAGUGAAGAACUGAAAUUGAUAAUAAGGGAGAAAGAUCACAGAGGGGAACUGCUAGAAAUUGAAAACUGUGACCUAGCAAAAGCAUUGCACUUGGCAGAGGAUGAGUUGAAGACUCUUAAAAGUAUGACGGAUCAGCUCAGUCUUCAAGUAAAUGUUGGCAAAAAUCUGUUGUCUGAGAAGGACACUGAGCUUCAGGGAAUGGAACAGAAGCUUUAUCUUACUGAAACUGAGAAAGCUGUGUUGCAUCAAAUUUUGAUGAAU